AUUCUCUUGCUUUCUGUGCAGGUUGUUCUGGAGAAAGAGCAGGAGCAGAUUGAUUUGUCAGAGAUGCCAUGCCAGACUGAGGGAGAGCUGUUUCCAGCCCGAGAGCAGGAAGAGCAGCUUGGGCAGCAGGUGGAAGAGCCACUGGAGAAUGGCCAGAACAUCAAGGCAGAGCCACAAGCAGAGUUGCCUGAAGCUCAGAGUGCCAUUGUGGCAGUGAAGAGGAGGCCAGGAAGACAUGAGGAGCACCGAAGAGGAGAUGAGGCUCCAUGAGCAGAGAGGAGAUCAGCAGAAUCAGGUGAGUGAAAGAGUAGAAGUCACUCCACUCAUCAAGCUGUCUCUCUCGUGUUUUUUAGAGGACAUCAAGGAAAAUCUCCAGGCAGAGCUGCAGGAAACAGAGGCUAGGAUCGACGCAAAGGAGAAGAGGCUGGAGGAAGAACUGAAAAUUGUCAUAGAGAAAAUUAAUCACCUGAUUCAGAAGAAGGAUUCUCUACUAAAACAAGUUGGAGUGUUGACAUCUCACCUGGCAGCCUGGGAAGGCUUCCAGCAAAUGACUGGCGAUGAAGAGCCCCAAGGUUGGCGUGAGGCACAGCAACUGUCCCAAGCAGAGAUGCUGAAGGUUGAGCAUGUCUCCAAGAUGGUGGAGGAAAAGUGGACUCAGUGGGAAGAGGUACAACAUUUGAACAAGGAGCUGCAAAUGUG
Molecule: non-coding RNA, 699 nt
Organism: Cyanistes caeruleus (blue tit)
Lineage: Eukaryota; Metazoa; Chordata; Aves; Passeriformes; Paridae
Source: RefSeq, a predicted model, not a curated record